Molecule: ribosomal RNA, 222 nt
Filed under: uncultured bacterium
Lineage: Bacteria
Description: partial 16S ribosomal RNA
Rfam family: Bacterial small subunit ribosomal RNA
Source: RNAcentral
AGUAAUGUCUGGGAAACUGCCUGAUGGAGGGGGAUAACUACUGGAAACGGUAGCUAAUACCGCAUAAUGUCGCAAGACCAAAGUGGGGGACCUUCGGGCCUCAUGCCAUAAGAUGUGCCCAGAUGGGAUUAGCUAGUAGGUGGGGUAACGGCUCACCUAGGCGACGAUCCCUAGCUGGUCUGAGAGGAUGACCAGCCACACUGGAACUGAGACACGGUCCAG